AGGGGAAGCACCCGGGACCUCCUUGGCUUCUUCUGGGAGUCUAGUUUCACCUAUUUCGUUUCGCCAACAGGCGAGACGGGCAAGACUUCGGGCUCAGCUGCCACCAUCAGUACUGACCUGUCCAUGGCUAAAGCCUUUUCCACACACAACCAAAGUUGGCUGCAGUUUAGCUACCGCGUUUUAGCCUUCCCGCUCUCCGGAAGCAAGCCCUUCGACCCGGAAGCAGUCUGUCCCUAAAACAGACCCACAGAAAAGGGGUAGGGGAGAAGAAACAACGUUCCCAUCUAGCGCAUGCGCGACUUCAGCCUACAGGUGCACGCCCGGUGGGCGCAGGCGCAAAAGUUUGCCAAUGUGUUCCUGGUUGCGUUUAGCCCAGACGCCCUGCGGCCGCUUUGCCUGACCAAAGUCUGUGGGCGUGGAACAGGCCCUGGGUUCUCCUACUGGGAAGAAUGAAGUAUGUUGAUAGUCUGGAAAAAUGUGAAGUCAUUUCCUGGUUCAGGUACUCCAUGUGAUAUAUGGUUCCACAAUCCUCAGCGUGUUAACUGAAGCCUUGUUGAGUUUAACAAAGCUGCCAUUGAAGAUCUGGGGAAAGUGAAGAAGUUGCAACAGAGUUUUGGGCUCACACCAUUGAUA
RNAcentral lists this long non-coding RNA (633 nucleotides) under Homo sapiens (human). RNAcentral's name for it is "non-protein coding lnc-CPM-2:6". Lineage: Eukaryota; Metazoa; Chordata; Mammalia; Primates; Hominidae. The record is from RNAcentral.